This is a non-coding RNA of Galbibacter marinus, 75 nucleotides long. NCBI's taxonomy places the organism in Bacteria, Pseudomonadati, Bacteroidota, Flavobacteriia, Flavobacteriales, Flavobacteriaceae. The record is from Rfam.
GCAGCUACGAGUUGGCAUAGCGGAGAAGUCAGCAGCGGUCAUAGUAGUACUAUUUGCUGGAAGGGUACGAAGGAC